This 490-nucleotide ribosomal RNA is filed under the name uncultured bacterium. RNAcentral's name for it is "partial 16S ribosomal RNA". It matches the Rfam family "Bacterial small subunit ribosomal RNA", at positions 30 to 507 of the family's 1533-position model. The record is from RNAcentral.
AUUGAGCGCUGGCGGCAGGCCUAACACAUGCAAGUCGAAUGGUAACAGGAAACAGCUUGCUGUUUCGCUGACGAGUGGCGGACGGGUGAGUAAUGUCUGGGAAACUGCCUGAUGGCGGGGGAUAACUACUGGAAACGGUAGUUAAUACCGAAUAACGUCGCAAGACCAAAGAGGGGGACCUUCGGGCCUCUUGCCAUCAGAUGCGCCCAGAUGGGAUUAGCUAGUAGGUGGGGUAACGGCUCACCUAGGCAACGAUCCCUAGCUGGUCUGAGAGGGAGACCGGCCACACUGGAAAUGAGACACGGUCCAGACUCCUACGGGAGGCAGCAGUGGGGAAUAUUCCGCAAUGGGCGCAAGCCUGAUGGAGCCAUGCAGCGUGUAUGAAGAAGGCCUUCGGAUUGUAAAGUACUGUCAGCGGGGAGGAAGGUAGUAAAAUUAAUACGUUUGCUCAUUGACGUUACCCGCAGAAGAAGCAACGGCUAACUCCGUG